UGGGGAAUCUUGCACAAUGGGGGAAACCCUGAUGCAGCGACGCCGCGUGAGCGAUGAAGCCCUUCGGGGUGUAAAGCUCUUUCGGCAGGGAAGAUUAUGACGGUACCUGCAGAAGCAGCUGCGGCUAACUACGUGCCAGCAGCCGCGGUAAUACGUAGGCAGCAAGCGUUGUUCGGAGUUACUGGGCGUAAAGGGUGUGUAGGCGGUCUCUUAAGUUUGUUGUGAAAUCUCCCGGCUCAACUGGGAGGGUGCGGCGAAUACUGAGAGGCUAGAGUGCGGGAGAGGAAAGUGGAAUUCCUGGUGUAGCGGUGAAAUGCGUAGAUAUCAGGAGGAACACCGGUGGUGUAAACGGCUUUCUGGACCGUAACUGACGCUGAGACACGAAAGCGUGGGUAGCAAA
This 400-nucleotide ribosomal RNA is filed under the name uncultured bacterium. RNAcentral's name for it is "bacterial SSU rRNA". It matches the Rfam family "Bacterial small subunit ribosomal RNA", at positions 355 to 772 of the family's 1533-position model. The record is from RNAcentral.